GACGAACGCUGGCGGCGUGCUUAACACAUGCAAGUCGAACGCUGAAGCUUGGUGCUUGCUCUGGGUGGAUGAGUGGCGAACGGGUGAGUAAUACGUGAGUAACCUGCCCUUGACUCUGGGAUAAGCCUGGGAAACUGGGUCCAAUACUGGAUACGACAUGUCACCGCAUGGUGGUGUGUGGAAAGGGUUUUACUGGUUUUGGAUGGGCUCACGGCCUAUCAGCUUGUUGGUGGGGUAAUGGCUCACCAAGGCGACGACGGGUAGCCGGCCUGAGAGGGUGACCGGCCACACUGGGACUGAGACACGGCCCAGACGCCUACGGGAGGCAGCAGUGGGGAAUAUUGCACAAUGGGCGGAAGCCUGAUGCAGCGACGCCGCGUGAGGGAUGACGGCCUUCGGGUUGUAAACCUCUUUCAGCACGGAAGAAGCGAAAGUGACGGUACGUGCAGAAGAAGCGCCGGCUAACUACGUG
This 472-nucleotide ribosomal RNA is filed under the name uncultured bacterium. RNAcentral describes it as "partial 16S ribosomal RNA". It matches the Rfam family "Bacterial small subunit ribosomal RNA", at positions 28 to 507 of the family's 1533-position model. The record is from RNAcentral.